ACCGGGCGUGGUGGUGCACGCCUGUAAUCCCAGCUACUUGGGAGGCUGAGGCAGGAGAAUUGCUUGAACCUGGGAGGUGGAGGUUGCAGUGAGAGCCGAGAUCAUGCCACUGCACUCCAGCCUGGGUGACAGAGCAAGACUCUGUCUCAA
Macaca fascicularis (crab-eating macaque) is the source of this 150-nucleotide unclassified non-coding RNA. It matches the Rfam family "Metazoan signal recognition particle RNA". From Rfam's summary of the family: The signal recognition particle (SRP) is a universally conserved ribonucleoprotein. It is involved in the co-translational targeting of proteins to membranes. The record is from Ensembl. Lineage: Eukaryota; Metazoa; Chordata; Mammalia; Primates; Cercopithecidae.